This 68-nucleotide transfer RNA is filed under the name human gut metagenome. It matches the Rfam family "tRNA". From Rfam's summary of the family: Transfer RNA (tRNA) molecules are approximately 80 nucleotides in length. Their secondary structure includes four short double-helical elements and three loops (D, anti-codon, and T loops). The record is from RNAcentral. RNAcentral also lists the same sequence under 1 other name.
GGAUAUAGCUCAGCUGGUUAGAGCACCAGAUUGUGAUUCUGGGGGUCGCCGGUUCGAAUCCGGUUAUC